CAAAGACAUAGCAAGUCGAGCGGAGCGACGWUAUCUGAACCUUCGGGGRACGAUAACGGCGUCGAGCGGCGGACGGGUGAGUAAUGCCUAGGAAAUUGCCCUGAUGUGGGGGAUAACCAUUGGAAACGAUGGCUAAUACCGCAUAAUGCCUACGGGCCAAAGAGGGGGACCUUCGGGCCUCUCGCGUCAGGAUAUGCCUAGGUGGGAUUAGCUAGUUGGUGAGGUAAUGGCUCACCAAGGCGACGAUCCCUAGCUGGUCUGAGAGGAUGAUCAGCCACACUGGAACUGAGACACGGUCCAGACUCCUACGGGAGGCAGCAGUGGGGAAUAUUGCACAAUGGGCGCAAGCCUGAUGCAGCCAUGCCGCGUGUGUGAAGAAGGCCUUCGGGUUGUAAAGCACUUUCAGUCGUGAGGAAGGUAGUGUAGUUAAUAGCUGCAUUAUUUGACGUUAGCGACAGAAGAAGCACCGGCUAACUCCGUGCCAGCAGCCGCGGUAAUACGGAGGGUGCGAGCGUUAAUCGGAAUUACUGGGCGUAAAGCGCAUGCAGGUGGUUUGUUAAGUCAGAUGUGAAAGCCCGGGGCUCAACCUCGGAAUUGCAUUUGAAACUGGCAGACUAGAGUACUGUAGAGGGGGGUAGAAUUUCAGGUGUAGCGGUGAAAUGCGUAGAGAUCUGAAGGAAUACCGGUGGCGAAGGCGGCCCCCUGGACAGAUACUGACACUCAGAUGCGAAAGCGUGGGGAGCAAACAGGAUUAGAUACCCUGGUAGUCCACGCCGUAAACGAUGUCUACUUGGAGGUUGUGGCCUUGAGCCGUGGCUUUCGGAGCUAACGCGUUAAGUAGACCGCCUGGGGAGUACGGUCGCAAGAUUAAAACUCAAAUGAAUUGACGGGGGCCCGCACAAGCGGUGGAGCAUGUGGUUUAAUUCGAUGCAACGCGAAGAACCUUACCUAC
RNAcentral lists this ribosomal RNA (952 nucleotides) under Vibrio rotiferianus. RNAcentral's name for it is "bacterial SSU rRNA". It matches the Rfam family "Bacterial small subunit ribosomal RNA", at positions 48 to 978 of the family's 1533-position model. Lineage: Bacteria; Pseudomonadati; Pseudomonadota; Gammaproteobacteria; Vibrionales; Vibrionaceae. The record is from RNAcentral.